Molecule: long non-coding RNA, 245 nt
Filed under: Homo sapiens (human)
Lineage: Eukaryota; Metazoa; Chordata; Mammalia; Primates; Hominidae
Description: HSALNT0260426
Source: RNAcentral
ACAAAAAAAACUAAAGAAAUUAAUUUUUUCUGGAUCUGUCAGAUAAUAGAGGUCACAAGGCAAACCACCAGCCUUAAAUCUGGAGAGACAAGCAAACGGAGAUCAGCUUACUUGGAGCAGAAGGACCAAGGUCAGACUCAUCCUUCCUGAUCCUCUUGUCUGCAUGUAUCAGCUAAUGGUCAAUGUUCUGAAUGCAGUCCAUAUGUCUCCACUCUUGUGAGGCUUCUCUGCUGUGUGGUCUCCCA